Molecule: unclassified non-coding RNA, 229 nt
Filed under: plant metagenome
Description: partial contains small subunit ribosomal RNA, internal transcribed spacer 1, and 5.8S ribosomal RNA
Source: RNAcentral
UCUCCGUAGGUGAACCUGCGGAGGGAUCAUUACAGAGCUCAUGCCCUACCGGGUAGAUCUCCCACCCUAUGUUAUUAUUACUUUGUUGCUUUGGCGGGCCGUUAGGCUCCGGCCCGACUACCGGCCCCGGCUGGUAAGCGCCCGCCAGAGGACCCAAAACCCUGAAUAUUAGUGUCGUCUGAGUACUAUAUAAUAGUUAAAGCUUUCAACAACGGAUCUCUUGGUUCUG